UAGGACCCCAUUUCCCCUUCUAGGACCCAAUCCCCUCCUAGUCCCGCCCGUCUCUCCCGGAUGCGCCCUCCCAUUCGUCGGAGGGGGAGGCGGGAUCCGGGAGCUACCGCCUCUGAUUGGCUGGGGCGGGAGCGCGGGAAAGCGGCGGCGGGGGCGCCUUCCCGGCGUGCACCGCGCGGGGGAACUGGGAGAGACCUGGGAGGGAACUGGAAGGUCGCCGAUGGCCGAGCCCUGCCCGGGCCCUCCCAGUGCUCCCAGUGCCCCCCAGUGCUCCCAGUUGCCCCCUCCCACUCUGGAGGGGCUCAUUCCCCCCUCCCAUUUUGUGCUGCGUCCCAGGUCCCUGGGGGUGGAGCUUGAGGCAGAAAGGGGGCGUGUCCAUGAAUUGGAGGUGGAGCUGAAAGCACUGAAGGGGCGGAGCCAGCACCUGGAGGCAGAGCUUGAGGCUGAAAGGAGGCGGAGCCAGCACCUGGAGGCAGAGCUUGAGGCUGAAAGGAGGCGGAGCCAGCAGCUGGAGGCGGAGCUUGAAACAGAAAAGGGGCGGAGCCAAUCACUGGAGGCAGAACUUAAGUCAGAAAGGGGGCGGAGCCAAGGACUGGGGGUGGAGCUCGAUGCCCUGAGGGGGCGUGGCCAGCGAUUGGAGGCAGAGCUGGAUGCAGAAAAGGGGCGGAGCCAAAUCCUGGAGACGGAGCUGGAGACCCUGAGGAGGCGGGGCCUUGGCCCAGAGGAGGUGGAGCAAAGCCCAGAGCAGGUGUUGCUGGGCCGCUGGCGCCAGAAGGUUUUCCAGCUGCUGCUGCAGGUGAGGCUGCAGCAGGGCCAGGAGCUGCAGCUGCAGGGACAGGUGCGCUCCCUGGGUGCUGCAGUGGCCGCCGGGUCCCGACAGGUGUCGCUGUUGGAGCUGCGGCUGCGCCAGGGGGAGCAGGAGAGACAGGCCCUGUCCCAGGAGCGGCUCCGGGCGGAGGCGGCCGAGGAGGAACUGGGGAAACUGGGCCAGGCCCUGAGCCGGUAG
This 1006-nucleotide long non-coding RNA is filed under the name Serinus canaria (Common canary). Its description in RNAcentral is "lncRNA (ENSSCAG00000015811.1)". Lineage: Eukaryota; Metazoa; Chordata; Aves; Passeriformes; Fringillidae. The record is from RNAcentral.